This 497-nucleotide ribosomal RNA is filed under the name uncultured bacterium. RNAcentral describes it as "partial 16S ribosomal RNA". It matches the Rfam family "Bacterial small subunit ribosomal RNA", at positions 28 to 507 of the family's 1533-position model. The record is from RNAcentral.
GAUGAACGCUGGCGGCGUGCCUAAUACAUGCAAGUCGAGCGAACAGACGAGGAGCUUGCUCCUCUGACGUUAGCGGCGGACGGGUGAGUAACACGUGGAUAACCUACCUAUAAGACUGGGAUAACUUCGGGAAACCGGAGCUAAUACCGGAUAAUAUAUUGAACCGCAUGGUUCAAUAGUGAAAGACGGUUUUGCUGUCACUUAUAGAUGGAUCCGCGCCGCAUUAGCUAGUUGGUAAGGUAACGGCUUACCAAGGCAACGAUGCGUAGCCGACCUGAGAGGGUGAUCGGCCAAAACGGAACUGAGACACGGUCCAGACUCCUACGGGAGGGCGCAGGAGGGAAUCUUCCGCAAUGGGCGAAAGCCUGACGGAGCAACGCCGCGUGAGUGAUGAAGGUCUUCGGAUCGUAAAACUCUGUUAUUAGGGAAGAACAAAUGUGUAAGUAACUAUGCACGUCUUGACGGUACCUAAUCAGAAAGCCACGGCUAACUACGUG